CAGAAUCGGCUUGCUACAUGCAUUUUGAAAUAUUUGCACAAUGAUUCGCGUGUGUCAUCAAAGGACAGCAGUGUUGUAAAUAGUAGCUUGGCAGGGGACUUGACAGCAAAACCAUUAACUGUGAGUCUCAUUUUCUGUCCCAUUUUGUCCUGCAGAGUUUCAGCACAUUAAGGAUGGCCGUGCAGCACUUGCAAGGAUGGACAGGGGAGUAUCUAUGCCUAAUAUGUUGGAACCGAAAGCAAGUAUCUUCUUCUUUUUGUACUGAUGACACUGUAAUCUACAUACUGUAGAUAGAUCUCUUUUUUAAAUUAUAUAUUGUUCACUUCUUCAAUGGAGUUUUUUUUACUGUAAUAAAUCUCAUCCGGAUAAAAAAAACAAAAACGUCCGAGGCGAUAUGGCAUAAACCCUGUAGUGUGGGGACAUUGGUGGAAGAAAUACUUUUGCAGGAAGUGAAAGGCUCACCUUAGCCGGGUUCAGCAUGCUGCUUUAGGAGCUGCCAAGUCACUCUAGCGCUUAGCAUGCCGGCUUCUCCAUGCUCAUCUGCACAUAGCUUUGAUUUAAAGUGGCUGGAUACUGUAUGCACCAUACAGUAGAGAAUCCAACGCCCAAAUUGUCAUCCAAACAACUCAUAUCACUAUAUACUGUGUAGUAUAUAAUGGCGUAUAUGCAUUACUGUGUGGAUAUGAGUUGGUGAGAGGCUUCAAAGAACUUCUAGUUGCUUAUCAUUGAAUGUGAUCAAUUUCUUCUUGCACCAAAGGAGUUAGCUAUUUAAAAAAAAAAUCCAAACACCUUAGAUUUCCAGGACAGUCAUACCCAUGUGGAUUUACUUGGCCUACAUUACAGUUUUGUUUUGUUUUUUAGUUUGCUUUAAAUUAAUCUAAAAAUUACAGCCUGUUACGUAACUCUGUUUCCAUGUUUUCCCCCUAAUCUGUUGCACGUUUCGGCACCCAAAGUGAAAGAAAGUGCACACGUCAUAGCACCUGCAUUUCCCCAGUGACUUAAAAAAUACAACAACCCAGUCAGCCUCCUGUCACAUACCUGUUCUCCCACCCAGUGCUCCCUGUGUCGCAGUAGAAUUACUAAAAUGUUCCAAUUUUAUAGUUUUGUUUCAUGAAAAUGGUUUGUAAAUUGUUCUGAAGCUGAACUCAAAAGCUUGUAAAUCUGACUUGUCCACUGAUGAAUGUCUCCUCCUGAAGGUGUAUCCCUAUGAAAUGCUCAUGAUAACCAGUAGAGGGAGAGCUAAACUGCCCAGGGAUGUGGACAGAACCAGACUGGAGCGCCACUUAGCACCUGAAACGUUCUUUGACAUCUUUGGAAUGGAGAUCCAGGAGUUUGACAGGCUUCCCCUGUGGAAACGCAACGACAUGAAAAAGAAGGCCAAGCUCUUCUAGCACUCAGAGCCGCAUGCAUUUUCUGUACAUUCAGAUAGCACACAGCAGCUGUAAUCUAGAUGUAGGUUUUGGUUUAUUUCCUUUUCUUCUAUAUAUAUUUUUUGUUCUUUUCUUUUUUUUAAAUUUGAUUGUUUUAACCUGACAUAAUCACGGAAGCCAUGAACUGGACUCUUUGCUCUGAUGCUUCCUGAGACUAUGUACUGAAAGACUUGUCCUGUUAGACUUGCACUGUCAACGAUGAGCGGGAAUCUCUUCCGUGUUCAAAAAUGACAAAGAAUGAGACUGGACGAUGAACAGGGUCAUGUUCUUUGGUUUGAAUGCGCUUGUUUUACUUCUUGCUUUGCUUCGAGUGGAACCGCUUUUCUUUUCUUUCUUGCUCGUUUCUUCCUACUAUUUCUCUCGCUGUUGAUUCCUGUGGAACUUUGUAAGUACAGUAGAACCUCAUGGCGCUCAUUACAAAAUGUCCAUGCUCGUAGCUUGAACAUGUGUCAGCUUACCCUCGCUUGGGCUGAAAAGGUUUUAGUCCAAAGUUUGCAAGAAUUGGCUCAGUGAGUCUUUGAAUUAAAAAGAAAAAGUCACCGGGAAAGCAGUUAGCUUACCCAACAGCUGUUGCAUCAUCCAAGCACCCGCAUAUCACUAGUUUCCUUCCCAUGGCUACGCACUGAACAUCCGUUUGACCCUGACAAAAAAUGUCUCUCUUCUCAGGCUCUCAUAAACACGGCCAGACACUCUCCCUUUACAUGGAUUGGAAGUACAAAUCGUAUUAUAUUUUAAUGCCAUAUCAAAAGCAAAGUGACAAAUAGCUAAAACCCCUAAUGUGUUUGAAAAUACUGUUUUAUAUAAAAAAAGAAAAGAAGAAAAAACCCCACACUGCCAUUUGUUGUAUUGAAUUCUAAGCCAAUAAAGCUUUAAAUCACCAUGAAACAUAAUGAUCCUCUGCUAAACCAAAGGUACCCACCGCCUCUUUUCUGUUUGUUUUUCUUUGUUUGCAUUUCACCAAUAAACACACGAGCUCAGUGAUGUAA
Long non-coding RNA from Astatotilapia calliptera (eastern happy), 2416 nucleotides. The record is from Ensembl. NCBI's taxonomy places the organism in Eukaryota, Metazoa, Chordata, Actinopteri, Cichliformes, Cichlidae.